Molecule: ribosomal RNA, 253 nt
Filed under: uncultured bacterium
Lineage: Bacteria
Description: partial 16S ribosomal RNA
Rfam family: Bacterial small subunit ribosomal RNA
Source: RNAcentral
UACGAAGGGGGCUAGCGUUGCUCGGAAUCACUGGGCGUAAAGGGUGCGUAGGCGGGUUUUUAAGUCAGAGGUGAAAUCCUGGAGCUCAACUCCAGAACUGCCUUUGAUACUGAAAGUCUUGAGUAUGGGAGAGGUGAGUGGAACUGCGAGUGUAGAGGUGAAAUUCGUAGAUAUUCGCAAGAACACCAGUGGCGAAGGCGGCUACCUGGACAGAUACUGACACUGAGGCGCGAGAGCGUGGGGAGCAAACAGG